UGGGGAAUAUUGCACAAUGGGCGCAAGCCUGAUGCAGCCAUGCCGCGUGUAUGAAGAAGGCCUUCGGGUUGUAAAGUACUUUCAGUCGGGAGGAAGGUGGUAAGGUUAAUAACCUUAUCAAUUGACGUUACCGACAGAAGAAGCACCGGCUAACUCCGUGCCAGCAGCCGCGGUAAUACGGAGGGUGCAAGCGUUAAUCGGAAUUACUGGGCGUAAAGCGCACGCAGGCGGUUGAUUGAGUCAGAUGUGAAAUCCCCGGGCUUAACCCGGGAAUUGCAUCUGAUACUGGUCAGCUAGAGUCUUGUAGAGGGGGGUAGAAUUCCAUGUGUAGCGGUGAAAUGCGUAGAGAUGUGGAGGAAUACCGGUGGCGAAGGCGGACCCCUGGACAAAGACUGACGCUCAGGUGCGAAAGCGUGGGGAGCAAACAGG
This 429-nucleotide ribosomal RNA is filed under the name Chloroflexota bacterium. Its description in RNAcentral is "Chloroflexi bacterium partial 16S ribosomal RNA". It matches the Rfam family "Bacterial small subunit ribosomal RNA", at positions 355 to 776 of the family's 1533-position model. The record is from RNAcentral. Lineage: Bacteria; Bacillati; Chloroflexota.